GGGGGGGGGGGGGGGGGGGCCUGGGGCAGGCAGGUCGGGCGGGCGGGCGGGAAGCGGGCGUUUCUGCUGUUGGCGGCGGGCGGGUGGGUAAGACGUGGAUAACCUACCUAUAAGACUGGGGUAACUUCGGGAAACCGGAGCUAAUACCUGAUCAUAUUUUGAACCGCAUGGUUCAAAAGUGAAAGACGGUCUUGCUGUCACUUCUAGAUGGAUCCGCGCUGCAUUAGCUAGUUGGUAAGGUAACGGCUUACCAAGGCAACGAUGCAUAGCCGACCUGAGAGGAUGAUCGGCCACACUGGAACUGAGACACGGUCCAGACUCCUACGGGAGGCAGCAGUAGGGAAUCUUCCGCAAUGGGCGCAAGCCUGACGGAGCAACGCCGCGUGAGUGAUGAAGGUCUUCGGAUCGUAAAACUCUGUUAUUGGGGAAGAACAUAUGUGUAAGUAACUGUGCACAUCUUGACGGUACCUAAUCAGAAAGCAACGGCUAACUACGUG
RNAcentral lists this ribosomal RNA (497 nucleotides) under uncultured bacterium. Its description in RNAcentral is "partial 16S ribosomal RNA". It matches the Rfam family "Bacterial small subunit ribosomal RNA", at positions 38 to 507 of the family's 1533-position model. The record is from RNAcentral.